GACAGAGGUGCCGAGCGUUAGGCGGAAUCACUGGGCUUAAAACGUGUGUAGGCGGGUCCGUAAGUACCUUGUGAAAUCCCACGGCUCAACCGUGGAACUGCUUGGUAUACUGCGGGUCUUGAGCCACCUAGGGGCAAGUGGAACAAACGGUGGAGCGGUGAAAUGCGUAGAUAUCGUUUGGAACGCCAAUGGUGAAAACAACUUGCUGGGGGUGUGCUGACGCUGAGACACGAAAGCCAGGGGAGCAAACGGG
This 253-nucleotide ribosomal RNA is filed under the name uncultured bacterium. RNAcentral's name for it is "partial 16S ribosomal RNA". It matches the Rfam family "Bacterial small subunit ribosomal RNA", at positions 524 to 776 of the family's 1533-position model. The record is from RNAcentral.